UGCCUGUGAUGUUCUAACAUUUGUCCGUACCAUCUGAGAAAUUUUUUUUCCUGAUGUAUUCUCUCUAAGUUUUAUUUCUGAGGCAU
RNAcentral lists this small nucleolar RNA (86 nucleotides) under Gossypium arboreum. RNAcentral's name for it is "small nucleolar RNA snoR117". It matches the Rfam family "small nucleolar RNA snoR117". The record is from Rfam by way of RNAcentral. Lineage: Eukaryota; Viridiplantae; Streptophyta; Magnoliopsida; Malvales; Malvaceae. RNAcentral also lists the same sequence under 1 other name.